CCCUUAGAUGUUCUGGGCCGCACGCGCGCUACACUGAUGCAUUCAACGAGCCUAUCCUUGACCGACAGGUCCGGGUAAUCUUUGAAUCUGCAUCGUGACGGGGAUAGAUUAUUGCAAUUAUUAAUCUUCAACGAGGAAUGCCUAGUAAGCGCCAGUCAGCAGCUUGCGCUGAUUACGUCCCUGCCCUUUGUACACACCGCCCGUCGCUCCUACCGAUGGGUGAUCCGGUGAAUGAUUCGGACUUCAGCGGCUCCCCUGGGGUGCGCCGGAGAAAGUUUUGUGAACCUUAUCACUUGGAGGAAGGAGAAGUCGUAACA
RNAcentral lists this ribosomal RNA (317 nucleotides) under uncultured eukaryote. RNAcentral's name for it is "partial 18S ribosomal RNA". It matches the Rfam family "Eukaryotic small subunit ribosomal RNA", at positions 1470 to 1796 of the family's 1831-position model. The record is from RNAcentral.